Molecule: unclassified non-coding RNA, 296 nt
Filed under: uncultured bacterium
Lineage: Bacteria
Description: contains 16S-23S intergenic spacer region
Rfam family: Bacterial small subunit ribosomal RNA (bases 65-296)
Source: RNAcentral
UCCUCGUUGAAGCGAGGCAGUCUGUCCAGAGUGCUCCAGCCUCUCGACCGGGUGGCAACGCGAAGAACCUUACCUGGCCUUGACAUGCAAGUGGUAGAACCAUGAAAGUGGGACGACCCCGCAAGGGGAGCUUGCACAGGUGCUGCAUGGCUGUCGUCAGCUCGUGUCGUGAGAUGUUGGGUUAAGUCCCGCAACGAGCGCAACCCUUGUCAUUAGUUGCUACAUUCAGUUGGGCACUCUAAUGAGACUGCCGGUGACAAACCGGAGGAAGGUGGGGAUGACGUCGUAUCUCACUG